ACAAACAGAUCUUUCACUUCCUUAG
This 25-nucleotide non-coding RNA is filed under the name Mus musculus (house mouse). The record is from RNAcentral. Lineage: Eukaryota; Metazoa; Chordata; Mammalia; Rodentia; Muridae.